RNAcentral lists this ribosomal RNA (935 nucleotides) under Bacillus subtilis. Its description in RNAcentral is "bacterial SSU rRNA". It matches the Rfam family "Bacterial small subunit ribosomal RNA", at positions 62 to 985 of the family's 1533-position model. The record is from RNAcentral. Lineage: Bacteria; Bacillati; Bacillota; Bacilli; Caryophanales; Bacillaceae.
UCGAGCGGACAGAUGGGAGCUUGCUCCCUGAUGUUAGCGGCGGACGGGUGAGUAACACGUGGGUAACCUGCCUGUAAGACUGGGAUAACUCCGGGAAACCGGGGCUAAUACCGGAUGGUUGUUUGAACCGCAUGGUUCAAACAUAAAAGGUGGCUUCGGCUACCACUUACAGAUGGACCCGCGGCGCAUUAGCUAGUUGGUGAGGUAACGGCUCACCAAGGCGACGAUGCGUAGCCGACCUGAGAGGGUGAUCGGCCACACUGGGACUGAGACACGGCCCAGACUCCUACGGGAGGCAGCAGUAGGGAAUCUUCCGCAAUGGACGAAAGUCUGACGGAGCAACGCCGCGUGAGUGAUGAAGGUUUUCGGAUCGUAAAGCUCUGUUGUUAGGGAAGAACAAGUACCGUUCGAAUAGGGCGGUACCUUGACGGUACCUAACCAGAAAGCCACGGCUAACUACGUGCCAGCAGCCGCGGUAAUACGUAGGUGGCAAGCGUUGUCCGGAAUUAUUGGGCGUAAAGGGCUCGCAGGCGGUUUCUUAAGUCUGAUGUGAAAGCCCCCGGCUCAACCGGGGAGGGUCAUUGGAAACUGGGGAACUUGAGUGCAGAAGAGGAGAGUGGAAUUCCACGUGUAGCGGUGAAAUGCGUAGAGAUGUGGAGGAACACCAGUGGCGAAAGCGACUCUCUGGUCUGUAACUGACGCUGAGGAGCGAAAGCGUGGGGAGCGAACAGGAUUAGAUACCCUGGUAGUCCACGCCGUAACGAUGAGUGCUAAGUGUUAGGGGUUUCCGCCCCUUAGUGCUGCAGCUAACGCAUUAAGCACUCCGCCUGGGGAGUACGGUCGCAAGACUGAAACUCAAGGAAUUGACGGGGGCCCGCACAAGCGGUGGAGCAUGUGUUUAAUUCGAAGCAACGCGAGAACCUUACCAGUCUGAC